GGGAAACAGGUUAAUAUUCCUGUACUCGGUGUUACUGCGAAGGGGGGACGGAGAAGGCUAUGUUGGCCGGGCGACGGUUGUCCCGGUUUAAGCAUGUAGGCGGAUGUUCCAGGUAAAUCCGGAACGUUACUAACGCUGAGGUGUGAUGACGAGGCACUACGGUGCUGAAGUGACAAAUGCCCUGCUUCCAGGAAAAGCCUCUAAGCAUCAGGUAACAUCAAAUCGUACCCCAAACCGACACAGGUGGUCAGGUAGAG
This 257-nucleotide ribosomal RNA is filed under the name Klebsiella michiganensis. RNAcentral describes it as "partial 23S ribosomal RNA". It matches the Rfam family "Bacterial large subunit ribosomal RNA", at positions 1420 to 1676 of the family's 2925-position model. The record is from RNAcentral. Lineage: Bacteria; Pseudomonadati; Pseudomonadota; Gammaproteobacteria; Enterobacterales; Enterobacteriaceae.